UGGGUCAACCAUUGGUCAGAGGCACUGUGACCUAACCCGCGUGCCGCAGCCGCCUCCUCUCCUCCUCGAUUCUUCUGCUGCCGCAGCCACCCCCCUCUCCUCUCCCCCAAUUCUCCCACCACCGCCGCCGCCUCUCGUCUCAUCCAUGUAGCCAGGGCCUAGACGUCAUCGGCUCAGUCCGCAGCGGUAUGGAUGAGGAGGCGAGAGCUUCAGAGGCAGGGGCGAGGAAGCAGAGAGUCCUUCCCGAGGGCGCCCCAACCUGCCAGAUCUUCCAACUCAUCGGCCCAGGCAAGGUAAAAAUGUUGGAUCCGGCGGUGGCUGGAAUCCCUUAUCGCCGGAGGAUGGCGUGCAUGACGUAUGACCAGAAAAUCAAUAGGCAGAUGGAGCAGGACGGGGUGACGAUUCCUGGCGGCGUUCGCGUGUUUUGGCUAGCGGCCUGCACUUCCUUCUUCCCCUGGUGAGUUGUCCUUGAUCUGAAAAAAUAUUUACUUCCCACUGAUUUGUUGCUUGUCGGCGGGAGCCUGGGGCGCCGCCAUGGCCAGUAGGAGAAGCACGGGUGACCGCUGCAGCUGAGCUUCCAUGUAAGAUAGCCCCGAGCCCCCGACACAUCCUCUGCCACACCAACCUUGCAGCAUCUGGCCUUUGCAGAUUCGUUUAGAGAUAUUCAAGAAAGAAGAUAGUGCGACAAGGCUAAAGGGCUACUAUGGUAAAAAUCUUUCUUUCUUUUGUUGUGACCUGUCUUAUUUGGUUCUAUUGUGCAUAAAGAACACUUGGUUUUAUCAACUCCCAGCUUGAUAGUUAACUGCUUCCAUCUAUCAACUCCCAGCUUGACAGUUAGAUGUUUCCAUCUUUAUAUUCUAAUUUGAUGUUUUUUGAUUCACGGUAUAUGGAGGAUGCAGGAAAUGAUGGAGUGCACGAUGCUUCAGCAGAUUCUGCAUUAUUGUCAAACGCCUUUCCUGAGGUGUUAUUUGUUUACACCUGAGGAUGAAAAUAAAGUUUUAUGUCCCACUAAUUAGAUCAACUGCUCAGGGAAAAAAAAGAUGUGCCUUCUUUGCAUUAGCUCCACCAUGGUUCUGCCAUAUGUCUAAUUACGAUGCACCCUUUUCAGACCAUUUCCACCGCACAUGUGUGUUCGUGCUCAUUUUUUGUUCUCUGACUUUUUGAUCAUGCCUAUGAAUGCCCAUCGUAUAUAUUUGUUCACUGUCUUUUGAUCACAGUUGUGUAUACACUCAUGCCUACUGUAUUCCCUGCAUUUUUCCUCUACUAUGCAAACUGCUUACCCUUGGACUACUAAUUAAAUCAAGCUUGCCACUUUGUACAGUGUGAUUAUUUCAUGUAUUUUUGGUAUGUGUUAGCUAUGACUUGACUGGCUCCAGUCUGGUAGAGAACACAAUUAAUUUGCACUUCCUGGAAUAAAAUUACUAUUUGUGAUUUUGGUAUGGGCUAGCUUUGAUUUGGAUGAUUUCAAGUCAGGAACAUGAGUGGGCUAAUGUAUUAUGCAUGACCAUGGGAAGACGGUAUUUUCUAUGGUAGAAUUAGUGUGGUGGUAUAAAAUUAUAAGUUCACUUCAUGGUCGGUAGGUUCACACCGCUGCAUUUUGUUUGUAGAUGCCUUGACUUUUAGGCUGUCACAGGUAGUCGCGCGUCGCCGCGGGCGAGUCUCUGAUCGCCUUGCUCUGUUUCACUGUUUCAAUAUUUCCAACUUAUUACAUGAAUGGAUCUAAAAUAACAAACUUUCAACAUCGUAUGAUUUUUCUACGAGUUGAUGGUUUUUACUCAACCAUAAAUGCUUCCAUGAUAUGCUGGCACAUUCUCUCACUUCAUUCCUGGAUUUUGCUGACAAGGAUUGGAAAUUUCUGUUACCCCCGAGAACUAAAAAUUAUCGACCACUCGAUUACAUGGUGUUGAAUUAUUUGAAUGCUACCAAUGUCUAUAUAGAAAAAUAAGGAAACUUUUUUUUACUCUAUUGAGCAAUGAGUGCACUCUACAAGGUUAGCCUUGCUGCCAUUGGUAUUAAAGUACUAGCAAUUAUCUUUAGCUAUUCUUCUUUCAUCUAUAUCCUGAAGGAGACCCGAUGGCAUGGCUGUACAAGUGGCACCCCUGGUCAGGUGGACGUUGGAUGCUUUCUUCAGUGUUUCUCUUUUCCCGCAGGCUUGAUUUCCUUGUGGUCGUAACCCAACUCCCAAAAGUCAACGCUUUCUUGGAGUCCUAAUCCAUCUACUUGUCCCCCUCUCUGUUCUUUCUAUUGUAACGCGAUCUUUCUUGGAGUCCUAAUCCAUCUACUUGCUCCCCUCUCUGAAGAUAUCAUGCUAUGGGACUUUUCGGCAGAACCUAAACUAUGGUUUUACUUGCAGCUCAGUUUUCACAUCCUUCCCAGGUUUCAGAAAAACAUAAACAUGCUUGGAUGUGUGUCCUUGCCGGCGACCUCGCUGUCUCCAACCCAUCCGUCUGGACAGGUAGCUUGCUAUCCUCUCAUCGUGUCUAUUGGUGCAGUAUCUCAUAUCCUCUCUCGAAGAGAUGAGGUAAGGAUUAAAGGACUACCAACUGAGUUCUACAGCUCACCUCACCAAUAAUGGAAGACAUCCUCACCUCACCUAUAAUGGAAGACAUCCCGAGUCAUUGUUUUGCAUGCUAGAAACAACAACUAUCACGUUGGUGAUUUCCCUGAUAUCUGGUUCUACAAGUGUGUCAUAUGGACCAAUGAAAGAAAAGAUAUUUCGGAGAUAAUAACUAUAUGGGCUACUCCAAAUGGUCUGACAGUGGAACCAACUUUUAUAGGCCCUCAAGUACCUGUGGAAGUCUACCAUGCAAGCAUUAUCCGACGAUGACACUGCUUUUUCGUACAUAUCAUCUUAAGACCAUGGUCAGACUAAGAAGAUGCCUAAAUAAGGCAUGAGGCUGCCUAUAUAUAAGUGUUUUUCUAUAAACUGAUCUAAGUCAUUCUACUAUCUGUAAACCAAUUUAAGUUAUUCUACUAUUUGUAAACCCGUCUAAGUCAUUGUAUUAUCAGCAAUACAAUCCACAUUGCAUUA
Non-coding RNA from Aegilops tauschii subsp. strangulata, 3031 nucleotides. The record is from RefSeq and is a predicted model, not a curated record. Lineage: Eukaryota; Viridiplantae; Streptophyta; Magnoliopsida; Poales; Poaceae.